UUUGUGGCCCUUUGCUGUACCCUCUCUGUCACCCCGUUGAUCGCCAGGGUUGAUUUGGCUGAUCUGGCUGGCUAGGUGAGUGUCCCCUUCCUCCCUCAGCACUCCAUGUGCGUCCCUCCCAAAGUUGCACGCUCAGUGGAAGAGAACGACCUUCCCCGAUAGAGACGUACCAUUCAUCAGUCAAGGGUAUACGGUAGCUGCACUCCCUGGCUAGAACCUCCAAACAAGGUCACCUCUCACAUGAUCAGACACCUACAUUUCUCCAAGGGUUUGAUGUGACACCCUCAGAU
RNAcentral lists this small RNA (290 nucleotides) under Calidris pygmaea (Spoon-billed sandpiper). RNAcentral's name for it is "7SK RNA (ENSCPGG00000016966.1)". It matches the Rfam family "7SK RNA", at positions 4 to 246 of the family's 331-position model. Rfam says of the family: 7SK was discovered as an abundant small nuclear RNA in the mid-70s but a possible function has only recently been suggested. Two independent studies have found that 7SK RNA binds the CDK9/cyclin T complex (known as elongation factor P-TEFb). P-TEFb activates transcription by phosphorylating the C-terminal domain of RNA polymerase II. The record is from RNAcentral. Lineage: Eukaryota; Metazoa; Chordata; Aves; Charadriiformes; Scolopacidae.